UACGUAGGGUGCAAGCGUUAAUCGGAAUUACUGGGCGUAAAGGGCUCGUAGGCGGCCAACUAAGUCAGACGUGAAAUCCCCAGGCUCAACCUGGGAACUGCGUCUGAUACUGGAUGGCUUGAAUUCGGGAGAGGGAUGCAGAAUUCCAGGUGUAGCGGUGAAAUGCGUAGAUAUCUGGAGGAAUACCGGUGGCGAAGGCGGCAUCCUGGACCGACAUUGACGCUGAUGAGCGAAAGCUAGGGGAGCAAACGGG
This 253-nucleotide ribosomal RNA is filed under the name uncultured bacterium. Its description in RNAcentral is "partial 16S ribosomal RNA". It matches the Rfam family "Bacterial small subunit ribosomal RNA", at positions 524 to 776 of the family's 1533-position model. The record is from RNAcentral.